Long non-coding RNA from Callithrix jacchus (white-tufted-ear marmoset), 2773 nucleotides. The record is from Ensembl. Lineage: Eukaryota; Metazoa; Chordata; Mammalia; Primates; Cebidae.
AUGUUGAAUAUUGGCCCCCAUUCUCUUCUGGCUUGUAGUGUUUCUGCCGAGAGAUCUGCUGUAAGUCAGAGUUGCCUAGGCAACUGCUUAGUGGAUAGGUUACCGGGGCUUGUUUUGACAUCAUAUAUAUUUCCUUCUUUGCAUAUAUCAAAACAAUUUUUUACUUUUUUAAAUGUGUCAAUAAACAUCUUUGAAAGAAACAAACUCAGAUUUUAUAGUUUUUCAUUUUUGCUAGCAGUGAGGCCUAAUGCUUCUUAGCAGCAAUGAGCAACUUCAUUUAAACUGAUUACUUUGGACUAAAGAAAAGACAAACAGCAAUUCUACUUUACUCAGUCUUCAGAGUCAAACUUCACAACAGAAUUUCCUAGAAUUGGAGCUAAGUACAAGGGUUAGAAAUACAGGAGUAAGAAAAAACCUAAUAUGAUAAAUAAAUCUGUAAUUAAGUAACAGGGAUCUGUUAGAAUCAGAGCAGUCCUGAGUAUUACCUUACUAAAAAAGUUCAGCUGCAUAGGUUUUGAAUGAAUCUUCGAUUAUUCUGGUUCCACAUAUGUUGAAUUCAACAAAUAAUUUAAAAGGUUACUAUAUUUUUAAUGUUAAAAGGAAGUCUUCAAAUUUUUGGUAUUGGUAUAAAGUUAUCAUUUGAAUACUCUCAGUGUUACUAUAUUCAGUCAGCUUUCUGAAUCCUCAGACUCUAUCUGUGGAUUCAGACAACUUUGGAUAGAAAGUUUAAAAAACCAAUAAAUAUUAUAAAGGAUAAUACAAAUGAAAAAACAAUAUAACAAUUACAUAGCACAAUGUAAGUGCUAUGCAACCAUAUCUAAUCAUCUAGAGAUUAUUUAAAGAAUAUGGGAGGAUGUCCAUAGGUUAUAUGAAAAUACUGUGCUAUUUUAUAUAAGGAACUUGAGCAUCUGUGGAUUUCAAUAUCAGGGGAUGGCGUUCUGGAACCAGUCCAUUGUGGAUACUAACUAGAAUUCAUUUUAUCAUUUUAAAAAGUCAAUAUAUAUUAUCCUGAUACAUAAAAUCCUUGAGAGACCUGAUAUUCACAGAUAAAGCUGCGUAAGUGUAAUUGCUUUUAUGAAAGUUCCUAGAAGCAUCUUAGUCCAAUAUCAAUCUACCAAGUAUUAAAUGACUUUACCAAUUUCAAUAAAUGCCAAGACUGAUAUAAUCUGAUCAUAAGUUACUAGCAAGUAAGUGGAUAACUGAAUACACAGGGUAGUUCAGAAAUUCACUAUUGGGAACGGAAGAUCACAGAAAAGCAGGAUAACUGAUUCAUUCAUUUAUAAGGAGGAGAACCUUGAUUAAAUCUGCAAAUAAUUUUCAGUUUUUAAUGUAAUCUGCUUUUCUAAUCUUCCUGGUGACUAGGAACAGGUUAGGAAUGGGAGGUAGUGGAAUAAACAUGAGGAUUUCUGUUUUUUAACCACUGCCAUAAAAGCUUGGGAAAAAGAUAAACUCCAAAUCACCCAAGAACAUUCUUUCCUUAAAAUGUUUUCAAAAUAAAUGAGACCAAUCUUCAGAACAAUGCACAACUGUGGAUAAGUUAAAACCUUUAGGAAGGGGGAUAACUGGGAUAACUCGUGAGUACUGUAUAAUCCAGACUCAGGAGAAAUGACAUGUUUCCAGUUUCCUGGCAAAAGAAAGUAUAGGAAGGUAGGGUUUGGCAUUUUAACAUUUUAUCUAAAACUUUGAAAACAGAAACAAAUGUGCAAAACAUAUGACUGAAACAAACAAACAAAAAGUCAAAUGUACAACUCUAAAAAUAAGUGAUCAAUGUUUAAUAUUCUGAGGAAUAAGUAACAAAAUCAAGAAAGAUUUUUUACUUAGCUGGAUUCAUUUACUCUGAAUUCUUCGAAGAGUUAAAAAUGAACUAUCACACUCAUUGAUUUAGAACCAUCAGAUUUUACUUCUGGAAAAUCUAAUUCCUUUCAAAAGUUAUAAUUUUAAUGUUAGCACAAAAAUUAUUUCCUAACAUUUCAUUUUUAAAAAACAUUUUGCAGCCAAAGGUUCCUAUUUUUGAAUUACAGUACUGCAAGGCACAUACAGAACUCACCUCCUUCAAAACACACAGAAGAUAUACUCCCUGAAAUAGAAUUUUAAAAUCCUUGAACAAUUAGAAAUACUACAAAGUUAGCAUUUUUUAGGUAAAAAUGUUGCUCCUAUAGGAUCAUGCAACUUUCCUAAAAUCAAUUCAGCACAUAUGUCUAAAGAAUCCUUUUUAAAAACAUUUGCACUUAAAAUGCAGAUACAGUGAUGCUGAAGACACUAAACAAAAACUGAAAAGUACUAUAUCUUGAUAAAUUUUGUUAUUGCCUUCUUUAGAGAUUUUAUCAUCUCUAGUUGAUCUUCAAAGACUUUAAUUUAAUAAUGGGGUAAUUACACAAGACAUAAAGGAUUUUUAAAAAACAAUUAUUUUCUUACCUCUAGCAUCAAUUCUUUUAUAAAGAAUGCUAAAUAAAUUACAUUUUUUGUUCAGUAAAACUGAAGAUGGACCAUUUAAAUGCUUCUACCAAAUUUAAUGCAGCUUAAUUAGGGACCGGGUACAUAUUUUCUUCUGAACAUUUUUGGUCAAGCAUGUCUAACCAUAAAAGCAAAUGGAAUUUUAAGAGGUAGAUUUUUUUUUCCAUGAUGCAUUUUGUUAAUAAAUGUGUUGAGAAAAUAAAAACAAGCACUGAGUGUGUUCUCUUGAAGUAUAAGGGUCUAAUGAAAAAUAAAAGAUUGAUAUUUGUUAUAGUCUGACAUUUUAACAGUCAUAGUAUUAGACGUUUCGUGACCAGUG